ACUCAAUAGAUACCCGGGUAGUCCACGCCCUAAACGAUGUCGACUGGGUGUUGGGGAAGCGAUUUCCCAGUACCGUAGCUAAACGCGUGAAAGUCGACCGCCUGGGGAGUACGGCCGCAAGGUUAAAACUCAAAGGAAUUGACGGGGACCCGCACAAGCGGUGGAUGAUGUGGAUUAAUUCGAUGCAACGCGAACAACCUUACCUACCCUUGACAUGUCCGGAAGCCCGGUGAGAGCUGGGGGUGCCCGAAAGGGAACCGGAACACAGGUGCUGCAUGGCUGUCGUCAGCUCGUGUCGUGAGAUGUUGGGUUAAGUCCCGCAACGAGCGCAACCCUUGUCCCUAGUUGCUACGCAAGGGCACUCUAGGGAGACUGCCGGUGACAAACCGGAGGAAGGUGGGGAUGACGUCAAGUCCUCAUGGCCCUUAUGGGUAGGGCUUCACACGUCAUACAAUGGCCGGUACAGAGGGUUGCCAAGCCGCGAGGCGGAGCCAAUCCCCGUAAAAGCCGGUCGUAGUCCGGAUUGCAGUCUGCAACUCGACUGCAUGAAGUCGGAAUC
RNAcentral lists this ribosomal RNA (559 nucleotides) under uncultured bacterium. RNAcentral's name for it is "bacterial SSU rRNA". It matches the Rfam family "Bacterial small subunit ribosomal RNA", at positions 772 to 1333 of the family's 1533-position model. The record is from RNAcentral.